This 206-nucleotide ribosomal RNA is filed under the name uncultured bacterium. RNAcentral's name for it is "partial 16S ribosomal RNA". It matches the Rfam family "Bacterial small subunit ribosomal RNA", at positions 568 to 774 of the family's 1533-position model. The record is from RNAcentral.
CGCGUAGGCGGCUUUGUAAGUCACUUGUGAAAUCUCUGAGCUUAACUCAGAACGGCCAAGUGAUACUGCAAUGCUAGAGUAUUGGAGGGGCAAUCGGAAUUCUUGGUGUAGCGGUGAAAUGCGUAGAUAUCAAGAGGAACACCUGAGGUGAAGACGGGUUGCUGGCCAAAUACUGACGCUGAGGCGCGAAAGCCAGGGAGCAAACG